AAAAAAAAGCAGAAAAGAAGAAAAAAGGAAGAAGAAGAAGCUAGACUUAACAACAAAAUGAGUUAUUUCUCCUUGGCUUUUCAACCUCGAUCGGUACGUAGUUCAGUAUUAUAUACUCCCUCUGUCUGUCCCAAACUUAAGAGUCCCAACUCCCAAAGACGGUCUCAUUUGAUUUUUCACUUUUUUUUAUCAUAUUACUCUUAAAACUAUAUUGACAUAAAAGUCAUUGUUUUUUCUUUCUUUAUAAGAAUGUGUUUUUAAGAAAACCUUAAUAUAAACGUAAAAGGAAAAGUUAAAAAGUCAUUUUGACAACUCUCGUUUUGACACCAGGGAGUACUAGGUAUCCUGUUUUGUAUUACUUGAAUAUUGUUUAAUUUGUAGAUACGCAAAACAUAAAAGGUUCUAUCAUUCCUAUCGAAGAGACAACAAUAGUUUAAAUCUCAUCUCUUCCUGGAUAAUAUGUCUGCAGUAAAAAAAUAGCUGAGCUUUAAACGCAAGAACAUAACAUAUGUCUAAGUUUUUAUGAUAUUUUUGGACUAGUACAACCAUAAUAUAUUUCAUGGCAUUCAUGCUACAAAUGAUAGCUUCAAAAUGUGGGACUGUGAUGGUUCAUGAUCAUAUAUAUAACCAAUAGACCAAUAAAUAAUCCCAAAGAGAUUUCAUGCGGGUUUCAAAUGAAGCACAGCGUCCACUUGAUAAUCUUAGAGGGAAGAACAACCAAGAGGUGGCAUUUAAUAUAUAUUCUAAACUCUUCUAACUUUCAAAUCCAAGAGACAUUGUAAUAUACUCUGUAUGCUUAGUCUGAAUAGUGGAGCUAGCUAGCUAAAGUCUCAUCCUCAUACAAUUAUGAAUGUGUUCCCAUUUAGCAGAAGUGAAGUUGUCACAGGCUGGAUGAAAUAGAAUAAUUUGAAGGGGAUAUCCCACCUAGCCUCUUCAAUGAGAGAGUAUUCAUUUUGCAAAUUAAACAUUCUUUUUGGCAUCACCAAGUGGCCAACGCUUGCGUUCUAAUGGGUUUUUUUCCCGUCUGGUGGCGCCUAGGGACCCUGCUUUCUGAUGGUCCUUGAAUUAACUACCACCUUUAAUAUUGUACCCCACUAUCAAUUUAACACUUGAAUAAUGUUGUUCUCAUUU
RNAcentral lists this long non-coding RNA (1131 nucleotides) under Panax ginseng (ginseng). RNAcentral describes it as "long non-coding RNA (PGIN_LNC017350)". The record is from RNAcentral. Lineage: Eukaryota; Viridiplantae; Streptophyta; Magnoliopsida; Apiales; Araliaceae.